RNAcentral lists this ribosomal RNA (460 nucleotides) under uncultured bacterium. RNAcentral's name for it is "partial 16S ribosomal RNA". It matches the Rfam family "Bacterial small subunit ribosomal RNA", at positions 338 to 795 of the family's 1533-position model. The record is from RNAcentral.
CCUACGGGAGGCAGCAGUGAGGAAUAUUGGUCAAUGGACGAGAGUCUGAACCAGCCAAGUAGCGUGAAGGAUGACUGCCCUAUGGGUUGUAAACUUCUUUUAUAUGGGAAUAAAAUGUUCCACGUGUGGGAUUUUGUAUGUACCAUAUGAAUAAGGAUCGGCUAACUCCGUGCCAGCAGCCGCGGUAAUACGGAGGAUCCGAGCGUUAUCCGGAUUUAUUGGGUUUAAAGGGAGCGUAGGUGGAUUGUUAAGUCAGUUGUGAAAGUUUGCGGCUCAACCGUAAAAUUGCAGUUGAAACUGGCAGUCUUGAGUACAGUAGAGGUGGGCGGAAUUCGUGGUGUAGCGGUGAAAUGCUUAGAUAUCAGGAAGAACUCCGAUUGCGAAGGCAGUUCACUGGACUGCAACUGACACUGAGGCUCGAAAGUGUGGGUAUCAAACAGGAUUAGAUACCCGUGUAGUC